RNAcentral lists this unclassified non-coding RNA (334 nucleotides) under soil metagenome. RNAcentral's name for it is "partial contains 5.8S ribosomal RNA, internal transcribed spacer 2, and large subunit ribosomal RNA". The stretch from base 1 to 120 matches the Rfam family "5.8S ribosomal RNA", at positions 35 to 154 of the family's 154-position model. The record is from RNAcentral.
GAUGAAGAACGUAGCGAAAUGCGAUAAGUAAUGUGAAUUGCAGAAUUCAGUGAAUCAUCGAAUCUUUGAACGCACAUUGCGCCCGCCAGUAUUCUGGCGAGCAUGCCUGUUCGAGCGUCAUUUCAACCAUCAAGCCCCAGGCUUGUGUUGGAGCCCUGCGGCUGCCGCAGCCUCCCAAAACCAGUGGCGGGCUCGCUAUCACACCGAGUGCAGUAGUUUACUCUUCGCUCAGGGCGUGUGGCGGGUGCUAGCCGUGAAACCCCCAACUUCUCAAGGUUGUCCUCGGAUCAGGUAGGAAUACCCGCUGAACUUAAGCAUAUCAAUAAGCGGAGGA